CCAGUGGAUAGAUUUGUAAUGAUUGCAACCACAAAAAAAAAUGCUAAAACAUCUU
This 55-nucleotide non-coding RNA is filed under the name bovine gut metagenome. The record is from RNAcentral. RNAcentral also lists the same sequence under 1 other name.